CGCCCGUCAAACCAUGGGAGCUGGUAAUGCCCGAAGUCGGUUUAUAAAGAAACUGCCUAAGGCAGGACUGGUGACUGGGGUUAAGUCGUAACAAGGUAUCCCUACGAGAACGUGGGGAUGGAUUACCUCCUUUCUACGGAGUACACUUGUCUUUUAUCACUAUAAAAAAGACUUAUAACCAAAAUUAAUAGACCUAUAUUUAUUUAUAAACGUCAUGGCUUUUAUUAAUAGGUCAAAAGCUAUAUAUCUAGUUUUGAGAGAACAUUCUCUCAUAUGUUCUUUGAAAACUGAAUAGUAAAAUAUUUUUCGAUAUUUACAACGACAUCAAAAAUCAAAUUAAUGGUUAAUUUGUUUUGAUUCAUCGAGUAAGUCACAUUUAAUAUGAUUCAUUGAAAUGUCUUAAAAUACACAUCUAAAACUAACAACAAUAGGAAAAUACUACUUUUAAAUAAGGAAGAGUUUGUGGUGGAUGCCUUGGGUCUGGAAGUCGAUGAAGGACGUGAUUACCUGCGAUAAGCCUCGUAGAGCUGGAAAUAUGCUAUGAAACGGGGAUUUCCGAAUGGGGAAACCUAACUAUGGUAAUGCAUAGUUGCUUAUGUCUGAAUACAUAGGACAUAAAGCGAGAUACCUUGUGAACUGAAACAUCUUAGUAGCAAGAGGAAAAGAAAAUAAAUAAUGAUUUCUUUAGUAGCGGCGAGCGAACGAGAAAGAGCCCAAACCAUUUUAAAUGGGGUCAUAGGACAGACUACAUAGAGUUACAAAAUUUAAUAAUAGGAGAAGCUUUUGGGAAGAAGCGGCACAGAAGGUGAUACCCCUGUAUGCGAAAUUAUUAAAUCUCUUGACUGUAUCCUGAGUAGGGCGGGGCACGUGAAACCCUGUCUGAAUUUGCCGGGACCACCCGGUAAGGCUAAAUACUAACCAGACACCGAUAGCGAACUA
Molecule: small RNA, 939 nt
Filed under: Mycoplasmopsis bovis
Lineage: Bacteria; Bacillati; Mycoplasmatota; Mycoplasmoidales; Metamycoplasmataceae
Description: bacterial LSU rRNA
Rfam family: Bacterial large subunit ribosomal RNA (bases 443-939)
Source: RNAcentral